UGGAAUGGGAUGCGCUGGAGAAGCUCUGGACAGGGCAGGCAGCUACCAUUAUGCACUUACUGAAUCCCCUGGAGCCCCAAAGGAAGAGGGUGUGUCUCCACAGAGGGGCUUCCACCGAUCUGGGCCAGACACCGACAGGAUAAGAGGUGUCUGAGUAAGCACUAGACGUUGGCUGUGUCACUCCAGUCGGUGAUGUGAGUCAUGAGGCUGAACAAUGCCAUGGGACAAACAGAAGACACACCGGGCUCACAAAUCUCUUUCUUCUCGGCGUGGCAUGACUCAUAGCCGCCAUUUUCCAGACAGGAGCACCCACGGAGUUUCGAGGCCUUUCUCCCCGGAGACUGUGGUAUUCUCCUGCAACCCGGAGGGGAGCCCUUUGAACCCAACUGCCCUGCAGUGCAGCUGGAGCUCCGAGAAGUUGAAUGGGGUCUGCACGUGCAGAGGUGCUGCGGGAGAGGGGCGGGGAUCAGGCGUCCAGCCCUGUGUACUUACCCACUUACCGCAGUGUCUCCAGCCUGGAGCUGCUGGGCGUGUUUCUGCAAGCGACCAAUGAGCUGCUCUGCCGUCCCAGAGAUGGGGGUGAUUGCUUGGGACUCUUGGUUUGAAGCUCCAUCUGUCUCCCCUCAAAGAGCCGGGUCAGCAAGUGGAAGUGAUGAGGGAAAGCGGGAGAGUGCGUGCACCAUGAUGAAUCCUGAGCAAGAAAAACAGGGAAGCAGAGAAGCCAAGGCGCAUGCACAGGAUGAAGCUCCCCCAGCCACUUCUGGCUGGACCCUUAGACCCAUGGCAGGACGUGGUCACAGAGUCAGGUAGGAGUGGACCAGCUUCUGAGACAUGAGCUGCAGAGCAAUAGGGAACAUGGGGUAGGGUGUGGAGAGGUUGCAUGCUUCAGGUAAGUCUUCUGGGAGCCUCACUGAGAGAAAGGUCAAGGUGAACAAAGCCAAGAGCUGUCUGCCUUCUCCCUGGCAGCGGCUGAGAAGGAGAUCCCUGCAGCCCUGCUGCACACCCCCACCCCAUUCCAAAGCUUUCUGGGAAGCGUCUGGCACUUCGAGGAGGGGGGACCGAGGACUUGCAUUCGGGCCCGGCUUCCUUCUCUGAGCUCCAGGUCCUUCUUACAUGAAAAGGCCCCUGUGAGUACCCCGUGGGAACACCCAUGUGAAAAGGCUUUGCUCCUGUGUGAUAGUGACCAAUUUGAAAUAUUUGUGAAAAUACAUCCUCUUCACACCCUGAAUGGUAUAUGUAGCUCAGGGGGUUGAGUGUUUUCCUGCAAACCUGAAGUUCACCGGUUCCAUUCCUGGUCAAAGCACACGCCAGGGCUGCAGGCCGGGUCCCCAGUCGGGGACGUGGAAGAGGCGACCAGUGGAUGUUUCUCUCCCAUGUCGGUGUUUCCCUCCCUCUUCCUCC
Long non-coding RNA from Artibeus jamaicensis (Jamaican fruit-eating bat), 1401 nucleotides. RefSeq lists it as uncharacterized. Lineage: Eukaryota; Metazoa; Chordata; Mammalia; Chiroptera; Phyllostomidae. The transcript is spliced from 3 exons. The record is from RefSeq and is a predicted model, not a curated record.